UUUUGUCUUUAGAUUCCUUCAGGGCUCAGGGCUAGGACUCCAGAGACUUUCUUGGGUUUUCAGAGGACAUUUCGGAAAUGGGAUCCCAGUCAUCUAAAUGUUCUGAGGGAAAUCCUCCUUCAGGGAUGCCAGCCGGGUUAUGUUUAAGAACUGUGGGCCUCUAUGUGUGCACUUUUAACUGAGUGGGAUGAACUGACCAAAAGCAGUUCGGAAUCUCAAUGGCCAUCAUGGAGAACUUUCAAGCUCCCCAAACUAGCUUUUCUUAAAAUCAUAUUGGAAGACCAUGGCUCUAAAAUGAAGCAAAACAAAUGGUACUUUACCUCCAACAUGGGACACGACAACCAGCAAUGGUUCUUCCUGGCACAGAGGGACAUUCAGCUUGAAAUAGUCCACAUACCGGUGUGGCACAUCUUGGAGCAGCCUGCCCUGAACCCCAUCAAUAGGAACCAAUCAUAUAAAAGAUCCAAGAAGAAGCUGAAUGAGAAACAUGUCAGAUUUGUGGGAGAAAAAACUAUGAAACAACAAAAAAGUGUAUAAAAUAGUACAAAAUAAAAUGAGUAUUAUUCCUAGGUAACUAGGAAGAGAAUGUUA
This 591-nucleotide long non-coding RNA is filed under the name Equus caballus (horse). Its description in RNAcentral is "lncRNA (ENSECAG00000056631.1)". The record is from RNAcentral. Lineage: Eukaryota; Metazoa; Chordata; Mammalia; Perissodactyla; Equidae.